CCACUUCUUUUAAGUUUUGCUCAGUUGAGGAUCUGAGGUUACGAUUUGGAAUAUAAGGUGUCAGACAUUCCGAUAUAUAAGAUGGGGCGAGAUUAUUUAAGGCUUUAUAAACCAUAAGCAGAAUUUUAAAGUCAAUUCUGAAUGACACAGGUAACCAGUGUAGCGACAUCAAAACUGGAGAAAUGUGCUCAGAUUUUCUUUUCCUAGUUAGGAUUCUAGCAGCUGCAUUCUGCACUCGUUGCAAACGAUUUAUGUCUUUUUUGGGUGGUCCUGAGAGGAGUGCGUUACAGUAAUCUAGUCGACUGAAAACAAAAGCGUGAACUCAUUUCUCAGCAUCUUUCAAUGUUAUAAGAGGUCUAACUUUUGUUAUAUUUCUCAAGUGAAAAAAUGCUGUCCUAGUAAUCUGAUUAAUAUGUGAUUUAAAAUUCAGGUCAGAGACAAUA
Erpetoichthys calabaricus (reedfish) is the source of this 443-nucleotide long non-coding RNA. RefSeq lists it as uncharacterized. The transcript has 3 exons. The record is from RefSeq and is a predicted model, not a curated record. NCBI's taxonomy places the organism in Eukaryota, Metazoa, Chordata, Cladistia, Polypteriformes, Polypteridae.